UGGAAAGAUGGAGUUUUAUUUUCAACUACAACAUCUCAACGCACAGCUUUUUAAACUCAUCAUCAUUUACACCUGUGGAAAAAGAGAGGACGCGAAGAGUACUAACUGCAUACUUGGCCAAUAAAGAAGCUUGAUCUCCGCCAGCAGAGGGCAGACUCUUCCUUUAGCAGAACAGCCUGGCGCUAUGUCCGUCUCCGCGGUGGACCUCCGUGCUUCAUCGCUCUGCUGGCUGGCUAAGUCACUGCAGGCCCACGGUUUAAUUCAGUUCCUGCCAAUCCAGUUCAUUUAAGGCAACCCACAGAAACUUCUGUUUCCCGUGGAGCUGAGCAUGAUUCACUGAUGAAGUUUCCAGUGUGGGGCCAUCACAGAGCCGCUGCCAAUAUCAACGCCCCCCCCUCCCCUCCUCCUGGCUGUGGGAGUGAAGCAUGCUGGGAGACAGCAGGACUGUUUAUGUGGGUGGCAGUGCCCAGGGGCCAGCUCUGGGAGAUCUAAUGCAUGUUAUUCAGAUCAGUGUCACCAGGGAGUUUCUGGGUAGGGCUGUGAGUGUGCGUGUGAAUGUAUGCCGAGUGGGCUGCGGUGGUCUGUGCUCCAUGUACAAAGGCGGCAGAUCCUCUCUGACAGAUGCCACAGUCCAGACCCUCAUCACAGGAAGUCAUUCAUAUUGCUAUUUGCUUAUCACAGGCCCUCUGUGGGCUUCACUGGGCUAGAGUUAACCUCCCCUUGACAGGACACAAGCAAGACCUGCCUCUCUUUUCCCAGAAUCCAGAGCCCUGAACCUCUCAUAACUCAGACGCUCUAAUUGGUUGUCAGUGUUUCCCUUCGCUCAUGAACACUGCUCAUGUUUAACGGUUUCUAACAGACCCUGAGUGUCAUAUGUAGUGAGAGAUAGAUUUAAAUGAGAAGCACACGUGUGUGAGAA
Molecule: long non-coding RNA, 919 nt
Organism: Puntigrus tetrazona (Sumatra barb)
Lineage: Eukaryota; Metazoa; Chordata; Actinopteri; Cypriniformes; Cyprinidae
Exons: 4
Source: RefSeq, a predicted model, not a curated record